UACGUAGGUGGCGAGCGUUGUCCGGAUUUACUGGGCGUAAAGGGAGCGUAGGCGGACUUUUAAGUGAGAUGUGAAAUACUCGGGCUCAACUUGAGUGCUGCAUUUCAAACUGGAAGUCUAGAGUGCAGGAGAGGAGAACGGAAUUCCAUGUGUAGCGGUGAAAUGCGUAGAUAUAUGGAGGAACACCAGUGGCGAAGGCGGCUUCCUGGUCUGCAACUGACACUGAGGCGCGAAAGCGUGGGGAGCAAACAGG
This 253-nucleotide ribosomal RNA is filed under the name uncultured bacterium. RNAcentral describes it as "partial 16S ribosomal RNA". It matches the Rfam family "Bacterial small subunit ribosomal RNA", at positions 524 to 776 of the family's 1533-position model. The record is from RNAcentral.